GUGGUUAAGCUACUAAGAGUGCACGGUGGAUGCCUUGGCGUCCAGAGCCUAUGAAGGACGUGGUUAAGCUGCGAUAAGCUUCGGGAAGCCGCUAAGCAGGCUAUGAUCCGGAGAUCUCCUAGAUCGGGAAACCGUCCGAGAGUCUGUCUCGGAACCGCCAAAAGCGGAGGGAACGCAGGGAACUGAAACAUCUCAGUACCUGCAGGAAAAGAAAGAAACAUCGACUCCCCCAGUAGCGGCGAGCGAACGGGGAUCAGCCUAAACCUUUGCAGUGUCAAGCCUGUGGGCGUUGCUGCAAUGGUGUCGCGGGACUCACAUGGACCCCCACAGAGGUCUGACGGAGUCAACAACUACAUGCCUAGACGAACGGUGUGAGAAAGCCGGCCGUAGAGGGUGACAGCCCCUUAGUCGAAAGGUCAUGUAGCUCCGGUGAGCAUCCCAAGUAGCGCCAGACACGGGAAACCUGGUGUGAAUCCGGGGGGACCACCCCCCAAGGCUAAGUACUACUGGACGACCGAUAGUGAAAUAGUAGCGCGAGCGAAAGGUGAAAAGAACCCCUGUUAGGGGAGUGAAAUAGAACCUGAAACCGUGUACUUACAAGCGGUCGAAGGCCUAUGGCCCUUCGGGGCAAUGGCUGACGGCGUGCCUUUUGCAUAAUGAUCCGGCGAGUUACUCUAACUGGCAAGGUUAAGGACUUAAGGUCCGCAGCCGAAGGGAAACCGAGUGUGAAUAGCGCGAAUCAAGUCAGUUGGAGUAGACCCGAAAGCAGGUGAUCUAUCCAUGAGCAGGGUGAAGCGAAUGUAACAGUUCGUGGAGGCCCGAACGGGUAUAGGUUGAAAACUGUUCCGAUGACUUGUGGAUAGGAGUGAAAGGCUAAUCAAACCUGCAAAUAGCUGGUACUCCCCGAAAUAGCUUUCGGGCUAGCCUCUAGUAAUAUCUCGUAGGGGUAGAGCUACUGAAUGGGAUAUGGGUCCUUCGGGAUACCAUGCCUAAUCAAACUCCGAAUACUAUGAGACGUACCUAGGGAGUCAGUCUACGAGCGAUAAGGUUCGUGGACGAGAGGGCAAGAACCCAGAACGCCGGCUAAGGUCCCUAAUGCAAGCUCAGUGUUGUUAAGGAAGUUGAAUCUCUAAGACAGCCAGGAUGUUGGCUUAGAAGCAGCCAUCAUUUAAAGAGUGCGUAACAGCUCACUGGUCGAGAGGUUCUGCGCCGAGAAUGAUCGGGACUUAAGCUUGCAACCGAAGCCGCGGCUUGAAUUGAACAGUUGUUCAAUUCAGGGGUAGGGGAGCGUUCCAAGCGAGUGAAGGAAGACGGUAACGACUUCUGGACGCUCUGGAAGUGAUUAUGCCGGAAUAAGUAGCGAUAAAGCAGGUGAGAAGCCUGCUCGCCGUAAACCCAAGGUUUCCUGGGCUCCGUAAAUCCGCCCAGGGUCAGUCGGACCCUUAGACGAGGCUGAAAGGCGUAGUCGAUGGAUGACAGGUUAAUAUUCCUGUACCACUGCAAGGCGUUAAUACCUAGGGGGGACGCGAAACAGAAAGCAAUCACACCGACAGAUGUGUGUGUACAAGCCCGAGGGCGGCAUGGAGACAACAUGCAUAAACCCGGAGGUGACGUCGAGCCGCAAGGCGAAGUUGCUGGAUGAAUCGCCAAGAAAAGCCCCAUAGGGAGUUUUGUAGUGUCCGUACCUAAACCGACACAGGUGGGUGAGGUGAAUAUCCUCAGGCGCUCGAGUGAACCGCUGUAAAGGAACUAGGCAAUCUAACCCCGUAACUUCGGGAUAAGGGGUGCCCAUUGUGGUGGAGACCCUCGCGGUUGAAGCCUAGAUGGGUCGCAGAUAAAUGGCUCUGCCGACUGUUUACUAAAAACACAGGUCUGUGCAAACUCCUAAAGAGGAUGUAUACAGACUGACGCGUGCCCAAUGCUGGUAGGUUAAGAGGAGAGGUUAGCGAAAGCAAAGCUUUGAAUCGAAGCCCCAGUGAAUGGCGGCCGUAACUAUGACGGUCCUAAGGUAGCGAAGUUCCUUGUCGGGUAAGUUCCGACCCGCAUGAAUCGCGUAACGAGUGGAGCACUGUCUCUACAGCGGUCUCGGCGAAAUUGUAGUCGUGGUGAAGAUGCCACGUUCCCGCGCCUAGACGGAAAGACCCCGUGAACCUUUACUGUAGCCUGAUAUUGGGGCUUGCUCUGUAGUGCGUAGCAUAGGUGGGAGACGUUGAUGCCAGGCUUCCGGGCUUGGUGGAGUCAUUAGUGAAAUACCACUCUCUGCAUUGUAGGCUUCUAACGUGAUCACGUGAAUCCGUAUCACGGACAGUGUCAGGUGGGCAGUUUGGCUGGGGCGGUCUCCUCCAAAAGAGUAACGGAGGAGCACGAUGGUGCACUCAGCGCGGUUAGCAAUCGCGCGUCGAGCGUAAGGGUAUAAGUGCGCCUAACUGUGAGAGAUAUAGCUCAAACAGAUACGAAAGUAGGUCCUAGUGAUCCGGCGGAUUCCGAGUGGAAGGGCCGUCGCUCAUCAGAUAAAAGGUACUCCGGGGAUAACAGGCUGAUCGCAUCCAAGAGUUCAUAUCGACGAUGCGGUUUGGCACCUCGAUGUCGGCUCGUCGCAUCCUGGGGCUGAAGGAGGUCCCAAGGGUUUGGCUGUUCGCCAAUUAAAGCGGCACGCGAGCUGGGUUUAGACCGUCGUGAGACAGGUCGGUCCCUAUCUGGCGUGGGUGUAGGAUGAUUGCGGAGUCCUUUCCCUAGUACGAGAGGAUUGGGAAGGACGACCCUCUGGUGCACCAGUUAUCACGCUAGUGGUAUUGCUGGGUAGCUAUGGUCGGAACGGAUAAGCACUGAAUGCAUCUAAGUGCGAAGCUCUCUCCAAAACUAGUCAUCCCAAUGAGUCCCCUGGAAGACUACCAGGUUGAUAGGCCGGCGGUGUACGCAUGGUGACAUGCUCAGCCAACCGGUACUAAUCGGACCAACGGCUUAACCACCCUUUUC
This 2976-nucleotide ribosomal RNA is filed under the name Planctomycetota bacterium. RNAcentral's name for it is "Planctomycetes bacterium (freshwater metagenome) 23S ribosomal RNA". It matches the Rfam family "Bacterial large subunit ribosomal RNA". The record is from RNAcentral. Lineage: Bacteria; Pseudomonadati; Planctomycetota.